This 494-nucleotide ribosomal RNA is filed under the name uncultured bacterium. RNAcentral's name for it is "partial 16S ribosomal RNA". It matches the Rfam family "Bacterial small subunit ribosomal RNA", at positions 28 to 507 of the family's 1533-position model. The record is from RNAcentral.
GACGAACGCUGGCGGCGCGCUUAACACAUGCAAGUCGAACGGAAAGGCCUGCUUUCCCUUGUGGAUUGCGGGUACUCGAGUGGCGAACGGGUGAGUAACACGUGAGUGAUCUGCCCCCAACUUGGGUAUAAGCCUGGGAAACUGGGUCUAAUUCCCGAUAGGACUGCAGGGUGGUGCCUGUGUUGGAAAACGAUUUUCUAGUGGUUGGGGAUGAGCUCGCGGCCUAUCAGCUUGUUGGUGGGGUAAUGGCCUACCAAGGCGGCGACGGGUAGCCGGCCUGAGAGGGUGGACGGCGACAUUGGGACUGGGAUACGGCCCAGACUCCUGCGGGAGGCAGCAGUGGGGAAUAUUGCGCAAUGGGCGGAAGCCUGAUGCAGCGACGCCGCGUGGGGGAUGACGGCCUUCGGGUUGUAAACUCCUUUCGACCGCGAGGAAGCCACCUGGUUGGAAGGGUGGUGACGGUAGUGGUAGAAGAAGCACCGGCUAACUACGUG